UCGGAUUUGGAUUAGAGUAGUGUGUACUUGUCGUUGAUCUGUGAUUGGAAGCAUAGUAAUUGAGUUAAUGAUCGACCGUUUUUAUUCUGUUUUUGAUUCCGUUUUUAUGUUUCUGUCCGUAUUUCAGUUUUAUAUUUCUGUUUGCAUUUGUCUUUUGAUUUAAUUCAUCCGCAUUCACAAACCUUUUCACAAACCCCCCCACUUCGUGUUAGACCUGAUUCUCGAACCACAGUUUGGUCCUUGAGAGACGACCUAGGAGUCAUUCCCUAGCUGUACUGCAUUUCUCAUAUGCAAUCAAAUUUGUAUGGACCGCGACACCCAUCAGUCUUACCACUUAUUAUUACUUGAUACGAUUCGGUGCACUUCCCGGAGUCCUAAAAAGCGGCAGUAAGUAAACGUCUACUAAAGACUAAACGAUACCUUAAUAGAGAUGUUAUUAUCGUUCAAACAAUGAUUUUC
This 459-nucleotide long non-coding RNA is filed under the name Vigna radiata. RNAcentral's name for it is "long non-coding RNA (VRAD_LNC013235)". The record is from RNAcentral. Lineage: Eukaryota; Viridiplantae; Streptophyta; Magnoliopsida; Fabales; Fabaceae.